CCAACAGGGACACCUGGAGAGGUUGCUCUCUCUCAGCUCUGUCCAUGUGGCGUAUGGGAGCGUAGGGUUCUGCCCUAUGACGUAAGGUCCUCUUCCACACUGUUGGAGAGCGAGUUGGACCUCUGUGGUCUGCAGCCUGCAUAUUCCUACUGCUUCUCUGAGUCUUUGGACCGUGAAAGAGGAGAUAAACCAUGCAGGAGACAAUU
This is a small nucleolar RNA of Naja naja (Indian cobra), 206 nucleotides long. Its record names the gene SNORA73. It matches the Rfam family "Small nucleolar RNA SNORA73 family". Rfam says of the family: U17 (SNORA73A and SNORA73B) also known as E1 belongs to the H/ACA class of small nucleolar RNAs (snoRNAs). Lineage: Eukaryota; Metazoa; Chordata; Lepidosauria; Squamata; Elapidae. The record is from Ensembl.